Mandrillus leucophaeus (drill) is the source of this 1217-nucleotide RNA transcript. It is a transcript of the gene named G protein pathway suppressor 2 pseudogene, with no coding region annotated. The record is from RefSeq and is a predicted model, not a curated record. The transcript has a single exon. Lineage: Eukaryota; Metazoa; Chordata; Mammalia; Primates; Cercopithecidae.
AUGAUUCCCGGCUGUUAUAAUAGCACUGUGGGACUCCGGAAGGAUUCGGCCCAGCCGCCGGAUGUGACGCAGAGGCCAGGGCGCGACGGAGACACGGAGAAAGCGCCGAGAAGGCGGUCCCUGUCUAAGGUCCGGACAGAGCCGGGCGCCCAAGGCCCGAGUGCCCAAGGCAGCACCAUACCCGCACUCUUGGAGCGCCCCAAGCUUUCCAAUGCCAUGGCCAGAGCACUGCACCAAGCACAUUGUGAUGGAGCGGGAGUGCAAGCGGCAGGAGGAAGAAGAGGUGGACAAGAUGACGGAACGGAAGAUGAAGGAAGAACAAAAGAGAAGAAAAAGGAAAUGGAAGAGAGUCACUAGAGGAGACUAAGGAACAAAUUCUGAAGUUGCAGGAGAAGCUUUUGGCCCUACAGGAAGAGAAGCACCAGCUUUUCCUGCAGCUCAAGAAAGUUUUACAUGAGGAAGAAAAACGGAGGCUAAAGGAACAGAGUGACCUGACCACCCUGUCAUCAACUGCAUACCAGCAAAGCCUGACUGUUCACACAGGAACAUUACUCCUCAGCAUGCAGGGGAGCCCUGGAGGACACAAUCGCCCAGGCAUCCUCAUGGCAGCUGACAGCGCCAAACAAAUGUUUGACCCGAAGUGCUUACCACCCGGCACUACGUGGGCCCAGCAGUUGCUUUUGCGGGGACACCAGAGGAUGGACAAUUCCAAGGCAGUCCUGAUGGUGCCUAUGGGACUGCUCAGCCCCCACCUCACUAUGGGCCCACACAGCCAGCUUAUAGUCCUAGUCGGCAGCUCAGAGCUCCUUCGUCUUUCCCUGCAGUGCAGUACCUAUCUUAGCCACAGCCACAGCCACAGCCACAGCCCUGUGUCCUGCACGGCCACUUUCAGCCCACUCAGACAGGUUUCCUCCGGCCUGGUGGUGCCCUAUCCUUGCAAAAGCAGAUGAAACACAUGCUAACCAGCAGACUGGCUUCUCCGACUCAUCCUCUUUGCGCCCCAUGAACCCCCAGGCUCCACAUCCAGCCCCUGGACUCCUUGCUUUCUUGCAGCUCCCUGUGCAGAUGCAACCAGCAGGAAAGUCGGGCUUUGCAGCUACCAGCCAACCUGGCCCUUGGCUCCUAUUCCUCCAACACAGCCAGAACCUGCGAUUCUACCACAAGUGACCAUCAGAUUAUAUCUUCAACACCAUGCCCCUCCAACCCUACCAUGGGUG